AUAGAAGGCCAGCCUGCCCGGUGACAAAGUUUAACGGCCUCGGUACCCUAACCGAGCGAAGGUAGCAUAAUCACUUGUUCUUUAAAUAGGGACCUGUAUCAACGGCAUCACGAGGGUUGAACUGUCUCCCCUUUUUAAUCAGUGAAUCUGACCUCUUCGUGAAGAAGCGAAGAUAUAAAUAUAAGACGAGAAGACCCCAUGGAGCUUCAAACAAAGUAACACCCUCUUCUACCCCCACCAUAAUAAACAAGAGCCCUGUUAACUAGCUUUUGGAUGGGGCAUCCAAGGAGUAUAAUCUAACCUCCCUGACAACUUAUCUCAGAGCUACUACUCUAAGAAACAGCAAACUGACGUAAUAGACCCGAUUAUCGAUCAACGAACCAAGUUACCCUGGGGAUAACAGCGCAAUCCAUUUCAAGAGUCCUUAUCGACAAAUGGGUUUACGACCUCGAUGUUGGAUCAGGGUACCCCAGUGGUGCAGCCGCUACUAAAGGUUCGUUUGUUCAACGAUUA
RNAcentral lists this ribosomal RNA (513 nucleotides) under Phrynobatrachus acridoides (Zanzibar puddle frog). Its description in RNAcentral is "partial 16S ribosomal RNA". It matches the Rfam family "Bacterial large subunit ribosomal RNA", at positions 1845 to 2590 of the family's 2925-position model. Lineage: Eukaryota; Metazoa; Chordata; Amphibia; Anura; Phrynobatrachidae. The record is from RNAcentral.